This is a non-coding RNA of Podarcis muralis (Common wall lizard), 305 nucleotides long. Lineage: Eukaryota; Metazoa; Chordata; Lepidosauria; Squamata; Lacertidae. The record is from RefSeq and is a predicted model, not a curated record.
GUUUUUGCCUUUGCGCUGGCUAUUGGAUCAACAAAACCUGUUCCUGGUUGCAACAUUAUUGCCCUCUCCAGUAACGCAACAUAUGCUAAUAUCCAUUGGAAUCAAUUGAGUAUGACCUUAAUGUGAUGAAAGAUAAAUGUUCAAGGAGAAACCAGUGCUUAACAUACUGUGAUGGCCAGGGGCCGUUAUCAUAGAGACAGAUUUGAACAGAUUCAGUCUCCAAAGGAUGAACCAGAAGCUGAAGGGAAUGAAAGAAACGUAAGCGAUUUCAGGGAAGACCAGAGACUUUUAUUUCACCACCCUUU